Molecule: ribosomal RNA, 1695 nt
Filed under: Salmonella enterica subsp. enterica serovar Muenchen
Lineage: Bacteria; Pseudomonadati; Pseudomonadota; Gammaproteobacteria; Enterobacterales; Enterobacteriaceae
Description: partial 23S ribosomal RNA
Rfam family: Bacterial large subunit ribosomal RNA
Source: RNAcentral
UAAGCCUGUGAAGGUGGCCUGUGAGGGUUGCUGGAGGUAUCAGAAGUGCGAAUGCUGACAUAAGUAACGAUAAAGCGGGUGAAAAGCCCGCUCGCCGGAAGACCAAGGGUUCCUGUCCAACGUUAAUCGGGGCAGGGUGAGUCGACCCCUAAGGCGAGGCCGAAAGGCGUAGUCGAUGGGAAACGGGUUAAUAUUCCCGUACUUGGUGUUACUGCGAAGGGGGGACGGAGAAGGCUAUGUUGGCCGGGCGACGGUUGUCCCGGUUUAAGCGUGUAGGUGUGUGUUCCAGGUAAAUCCGGUUCACUUUAACACUGAGGCGUGACGACGAGGCACUACGGUGCUGAAGCAACAAAUGCCCUGCUUCCAGGAAAAGCCUCUAAGCAUCAGGUAACAUCAAAUCGUACCCCAAACCGACACAGGUGGUCAGGUAGAGAAUACCAAGGCGCUUGAGAGAACUCGGGUGAAGGAACUAGGCAAAAUGGUGCCGUAACUUCGGGAGAAGGCACGCUGAUAUGUAGGUGAAGCGGUUUACCCGUGGAGCUGAAAUCAGUCGAAGAUACCAGCUGGCUGCAACUGUUUAUUAAAAACACAGCACUGUGCAAACACGAAAGUGGACGUAUACGGUGUGACGCCUGCCCGGUGCCGGAAGGUUAAUUGAUGGGGUCAGCGCAAGCGAAGCUCCUGAUCGAAGCCCCGGUAAACGGCGGCCGUAACUAUAACGGUCCUAAGGUAGCGAAAUUCCUUGUCGGGUAAGUUCCGACCUGCACGAAUGGCGUAAUGAUGGCCAGGCUGUCUCCACCCGAGACUCAGUGAAAUUGAACUCGCUGUGAAGAUGCAGUGUACCCGCGGCAAGACGGAAAGACCCCGUGAACCUUUACUAUAGCUUGACACUGAACAUUGAGCCUUGAUGUGUAGGAUAGGUGGGAGGCUUUGAAGCGUGGACGCCAGUCUGCGUGGAGCCGACCUUGAAAUACCACCCUUUAAUGUUUGAUGUUCUAACGUGGACCCGUAAUCCGGGUUGCGGACAGUGUCUGGUGGGUAGUUUGACUGGGGCGGUCUCCUCCUAAAGAGUAACGGAGGAGCACGAAGGUUGGCUAAUCCUGGUCGGACAUCAGGAGGUUAGUGCAAUGGCAUAAGCCAGCUUGACUGCGAGCGUGACGGCGCGAGCAGGUGCGAAAGCAGGUCAUAGUGAUCCGGUGGUUCUGAAUGGAAGGGCCAUCGCUCAACGGAUAAAAGGUACUCCGGGGAUAACAGGCUGAUACCGCCCAAGAGUUCAUAUCGACGGCGGUGUUUGGCACCUCGAUGUCGGCUCAUCACAUCCUGGGGCUGAAGUAGGUCCCAAGGGUAUGGCUGUUCGCCAUUUAAAGUGGUACGCGAGCUGGGUUUAGAACGUCGUGAGACAGUUCGGUCCCUAUCUGCCGUGGGCGCUGGAGAACUGAGGGGGGCUGCUCCUAGUACGAGAGGACCGGAGUGGACGCAUCACUGGUGUUCGGGUUGUCAUGCCAAUGGCACUGCCCGGUAGCUAAAUGCGGAAGAGAUAAGUGCUGAAAGCAUCUAAGCACGAAACUUGCCCCGAGAUGAGUUCUCCCUGAGACUUUAGGUCUCCUGAAGGAACGUUGAAGACGACGACGUUGAUAGGCCGGGUGUGUAAGCGCAGCGAUGCGUUGAGCUAACCGGUACUAAUGAACCGUGAGG